Molecule: long non-coding RNA, 502 nt
Organism: Oncorhynchus tshawytscha (Chinook salmon)
Lineage: Eukaryota; Metazoa; Chordata; Actinopteri; Salmoniformes; Salmonidae
Source: Ensembl
GUUGGAGCGUCACAUCACGGCACUCGAGUUAAAAGCGGUUAUGUCCUACCCCUGCUCCCAAUCAAUUUAACUAUGUGGAAAAGUAAUCUACAUCACCACCUAGAUAAUCUUCUACAACUACUACCACAUUCACCACCACCUCAAGACAGUCCGUCUUAACUGGCCUUCCCAAAGAGGACACAUUGUGGUGUCUGAAUAUGAUCGAGUGUCUACUCUUUCCACUCUAGUGAACGCACGGGUGUGCUGUUCUCAGAUGUUCCCAGACAGUGCAAUAGCCAAGACCUCAACAUGUGCGGCAACAAAGUCCAGCUAUUUGUGCACACAUGGCUUGGCUCCUCAUUUCAAGCACUUGUCUAAAAAACUGUCUGCUGGGGAGGAGAACUAUGUACUUCUCUUUGAUGAGAGCCUUAACAGAAAAACACAGUCAAAACAGUGUGACUUUCAUGUCCGUUUAUGGGAUGAGGACAAAGUUGUGAUGAGAUUUUAUGAUUCUAAAUUUGUG